CUCCGAUCCAUAAUUUCAUUUAGCAUAUAAGGCCAGUUCUCGGAUUGAUCAGCCAUGUGUAUGUUUGCUGCACAAAUGCGGAAACCGGGCCAGAGAACAAACCACGUAAUACCUUCAGUCCCAACCCCAACCCCAACCCGAACCCCUUGACCUUCCCGAAUCAAUAACCACAAUUCAUUGACGACAAUUCAAGUGCGCGAC
Drosophila melanogaster (fruit fly) is the source of this 201-nucleotide non-coding RNA. The record is from Ensembl. NCBI's taxonomy places the organism in Eukaryota, Metazoa, Arthropoda, Insecta, Diptera, Drosophilidae.